AUUGAACGCUGGCGGCAGGCCUAACACAUGCAAGUCGAACGGUAACAGAAAGAAGCUUGCUUCUUUGCUGACGAGUGGCGGACGGGUGAGUAAUGUCUGGGAAACUGCCUGAUGGAGGGGGAUAACUACUGGAAACGGUAGCUAAUACCGCAUAACGUCGCAAGACCAAAAAGGGGGACCUUCGGGCCUCUUGCCAUCGGAUGUGCCCAGAUGGGAUUAGCUAGUAGGUGGGGUAACGGCUCACCUAGGCGACGAUCCCUAGCUGGUCUGAGAGGAUGACCAGCCACACUGGAACUGAGACACGGUCCAGACUCCUACGGGAGGCAGCAGUGGGGAAUAUUGCACAAUGGGCGCAAGCCUGAUGCAGCCAUGCCGCGUGUAUGAAGAAGGCCUUCGGGUUGUAAAGUACUUUCAGCGGGGAGGAAGGGAGUAAAGUUAAUACCUUUGCUCAUUGACGUUACCCGCAGAAGAAGCACCGGCUAACUCCGUG
Molecule: ribosomal RNA, 490 nt
Filed under: uncultured bacterium
Lineage: Bacteria
Description: partial 16S ribosomal RNA
Rfam family: Bacterial small subunit ribosomal RNA
Source: RNAcentral